This 146-nucleotide ribosomal RNA is filed under the name Sarcocystis dehongensis. RNAcentral describes it as "partial 18S ribosomal RNA". It matches the Rfam family "Eukaryotic small subunit ribosomal RNA", at positions 1687 to 1827 of the family's 1831-position model. The record is from RNAcentral. Lineage: Eukaryota; Apicomplexa; Conoidasida; Eucoccidiorida; Sarcocystidae.
GAUUGAGUGUUCCGGUGAAUUAUUCGGACUGUCCUGUAUUAUAUGUUGCAAGACAUAUAGACAGGAUGGAAAGUUUUGUGAACCUUAACACUUAGAGGAAGGAGAAGUCGUAACAAGGUUUCCGUAGGUGAACCUGCGGAAGGAUC